Molecule: ribosomal RNA, 941 nt
Filed under: uncultured bacterium
Lineage: Bacteria
Description: bacterial SSU rRNA
Rfam family: Bacterial small subunit ribosomal RNA
Source: RNAcentral
ACAUGCAAGUCGAGGGGCAGCAUAAUGGAUAGCAAUAUCUAUGGUGGCGACCGGCGCACGGGUGCGUAACGCGUAUGCAACCUACCUUUAACAGGGGGAUAACACUGAGAAAUUGGUACUAAUACCCCAUAAUAUCAUAGAAGGCAUCUUUUAUGGUUGAAAAUUCCGAUGGUUAGAGAUGGGCAUGCGUUGUAUUAGCUAGUUGGUGGGGUAACGGCUCACCAAGGCGACGAUACAUAGGGGGACUGAGAGGUUAACCCCCCACACUGGUACUGAGACACGGACCAGACUCCUACGGGAGGCAGCAGUGAGGAAUAUUGGUCAAUGGACGCAAGUCUGAACCAGCCAUGCCGCGUGCAGGAUGACGGCUCUAUGAGUUGUAAACUGCUUUUGUACGAGGGUAAACGCAGAUACGUGUAUCUGUCUGAAAGUAUCGUACGAAUAAGGAUCGGCUAACUCCGUGCCAGCAGCCGCGGUAAUACGGAGGAUUCAAGCGUUAUCCGGAUUUAUUGGGUUUAAAGGGUGCGUAGGCGGUUUGAUAAGUUAGAGGUGAAAUUUCGGGGCUCAACCCUGAACGUGCCUCUAAUACUGUUGAGCUAGAGAGUAGUUGCGGUAGGCGGAAUGUAUGGUGUAGCGGUGAAAUGCUUAGAGAUCAUACAGAACACCGAUUGCGAAGGCAGCUUACCAAACUAUAUCUGACGUUGAGGCACGAAAGCGUGGGGAGCAAACAGGAUUAGAUACCCUGGUAGUCCACGCAGUAAACGAUGAUAACUCGUUGUCGGCGAUACACAGUCGGUGACUAAGCGAAAGCGAUAAGUUAUCCACCUGGGGAGUACGUUCGCAAGAAUGAAGCUCAAAGGAAUUGACGGGGGCCCGCACAAGCGGAGGAACAUGUGGUUUAAUUCGAUGAUACGCGAGGAACCUUACCCGGGCUUGAAAGU